GUGGAUUAUGUGGAUUAAUUCGAUGCAACGCGAAAAACCUUACCUGGCCUUGACAUGUACCGAAUUUACCAGAGAUGGUUUAGUGCUCGAAAGAGAACGGUAACACAGGUGCUGCAUGGCUGUCGUCAGCUCGUGUCGUGAGAUGUUGGGUUAAGUCCCGCAACGAGCGCAACCCUUGCCAAUAAUUGCCAUCAUUUGGUUGGGCACUUUAUUGGGACUGCCGGUGACAAACCGGAGGAAGGUGGGGAUGACGUCAAGUCCUCAUGGCCCUUAUGGCCAGGGCUUCACACGUAAUACAAUGGUCGGUACAGAGGGUCGCCAACCCGCGAGGGGGAGCUAAUCCCAGAAAGCCGAUCGUAGUCCGGAUUGCAGGCUGCAACUCGCCUGCAUGAAGUCGGAAUCGCUAGUAAUCGCGGAUCAGCAUGUCGCGGUGAAUACGUUCCCGGGCCUUGUACACACCGCCCGUCACACCAUGGGAGUGGGUUUUACCAGAAGUAGGUAGUCUAACCGCAAGGGGGGCGCUUACCACGGUAGUAUUCAUGACUGGGGUGAAGUCGUAACAAGGUAACCGUA
This 573-nucleotide ribosomal RNA is filed under the name uncultured bacterium. Its description in RNAcentral is "bacterial SSU rRNA". It matches the Rfam family "Bacterial small subunit ribosomal RNA", at positions 932 to 1504 of the family's 1533-position model. The record is from RNAcentral.